Non-coding RNA from Pelobates cultripes (western spadefoot toad), 244 nucleotides. Lineage: Eukaryota; Metazoa; Chordata; Amphibia; Anura; Pelobatidae. The record is from the annotation of a GenBank genome assembly.
CUAUUCUUCACACCGGUGAUUUGUGAGAGGGCACUCUCUUGUUGCAGGAUUCUUAAGAAUUUGGUUGUGUUGUGGACAUAUACCUUUAACUGGUAUCCUACUUACAAAUUCCAGAGCAUGGGUCUGCUCUGUGUGUGCUCUGGAUCUUCUCUGUGUGUGCUCUGGUUCUGCUCUGUGUGUGCUCUGGAUCUGCUCUGUGUGUGCUCUGGGUCUGCUCUGUGUGUGCUCUGGAUCUGCUCUGGGU